Molecule: ribosomal RNA, 482 nt
Filed under: uncultured bacterium
Lineage: Bacteria
Description: partial 16S ribosomal RNA
Rfam family: Bacterial small subunit ribosomal RNA
Source: RNAcentral
AUUGAACGCUGGCGGCAUGCCUUACACAUGCAAGUCGAACGGUAACAGGCCGCAAGGUGCUGACGAGUGGCGAACGGGGGCGUAAUGCAUAGGAAUAUGCCCAGUUGUGGGGGAUCACUACUCGUAAGAGAGGCUAAUACAGCAUAAGAUCUCAGGCUGACAGCGGGGGAAAGUAAGGGCUCGCGGGACUGGAGCGGCCGGUGUGAGAUUAGGUAGUUGGUGGGGUAAAGGCGCACCAAGCCAACGAUCUGUAGCUGGUCUGAGAGGACAACCAGCCACACUGGAACUGAGACACGGCCCAGACUCCUACGGGAGGCAGCAGUGGGGAAUUUUGGACAAUGGGCGCAAGCCUGAUCCAGCAAUGCCGCGUGCGUGAAGAAGGCCUUCGGGUUGUAAACUGCUUUUGUACGGAACGAAACGGCUCUGGUUAAUACCCGGCGCUAAUGACGGUACCGUAAGAAUAAGCACCGGCUAACUUCGUG